RNAcentral lists this ribosomal RNA (253 nucleotides) under uncultured bacterium. RNAcentral's name for it is "partial 16S ribosomal RNA". It matches the Rfam family "Bacterial small subunit ribosomal RNA", at positions 524 to 776 of the family's 1533-position model. The record is from RNAcentral.
UACAUAGGGUGCGAGCGUUGUUCGGAAUUAUUGGGCGUAAAGAGCUUGUAGGCGGUUUGUCGCGUCUGCUGUGAAAAUCCGGGGCUCAACCCCGGACUUGCAGUGGGUACGGGCAGACUAGAGUGUGGUAGGGGAGACUGGAAUUCCUGGUGUAGCGGUGAAAUGCGCAGAUAUCAGGAGGAACACCGAUGGCGAAGGCAGGUCUCUGGGCCACUACUGACGCUGAGAAGCGAAAGCAUGGGGAGCGAACAGG